GAUGCCUUUAGAUGUUUGGGGCGCCCGCGCGGUACCAUGACAGGAGCCAGGAGUUUAUCACCUUGGCCGGAAGGUCUGGGUAAUCUUGUGAAACUCUGUCGUGCUGGGGAUAGAGCAUUGCAAUUAUUGCUCUUCAACGAGGAAUUCCUAGUAAGCGCGAGUCAUCAGCUCGCGUUGAUUACGUCCCUGCCCCUUG
RNAcentral lists this ribosomal RNA (196 nucleotides) under uncultured fungus. RNAcentral's name for it is "partial 18S ribosomal RNA". It matches the Rfam family "Eukaryotic small subunit ribosomal RNA", at positions 1466 to 1662 of the family's 1831-position model. The record is from RNAcentral. Lineage: Eukaryota; Fungi.